UGAAAGUGAAGCAAGACAAUGGAUGUGACUGGAACACAGCCCUAGAUUGGGCUUUGAUGGCAAAAAACUCAAUGCACAAUGUUCAUGGUUACAGCCCAUACCAACUAGUGUUCGGGCAGAACCCUAAUCUUCCCUCUGUACUGGUUGACAAGCCACCAGCACUAGAAGGGGCCAGUGUGAGGUGCAUGGGUGGGACAGCACCUGUCAGCACUACAUGCAGCGAGAAAAGCGUUCACUGAGUGCUCAGAAAGAAUUUGCAGGGCUCUGCGUAAACAGCUACGACCCACCGAUGAGAAGUACGAAACUGGAGACAAAGUGUACUACAAACAAGUUGACUGUCAAGAGUGGAAGGGACCGGGUGUAGUCAUUGGCCAAGAUGGUGUGGUGAUAUUUGUGAGGCACGGAGGCAUCAUUGUCAGGGCGCAUCACUCAAGAUUGCGGAAAGUAAAUGAUCAACAAGAUAGAGGGGCUGUUGCUGAGAAUCAUCCUAAUGAAAAGGAGACAGUAACAGACACAAACCUACCAGAUGUCAUAUCCAAUGAUAUGGACACUGAAACUGACACAGGAAAUGGAGCAGAGACCUUCAAACAUGCCACAGAUAAUACUGUUGAGCGUUCAAAUGAGGAAAACAUUCAACAACAGCCACAUGUGUUAAGACAACAUGGAUGUUCCAAUCUGAAAACUGGACGAACUGUUAAAUACAUGGACAGAGAAAGUUGUAUUCCACAUACAGCAACCAUCAUUGGACGAGCAGGAAAAGCCAAAGGAAAACACCAGAACUGGUACAACUUGCAGUACUCUGAACCAGUUACACUUUCUGGUACAACAGGGUCAGCUGACCUGUCACUUGUAGAUAAUCUCAGAAUUGAACCAAUGGAAAAUCGAGAAAAACAGAAUGACAUUCAAAAUGAUGAUGUACUUGAAACAAAGGACGUGUCAUUUGACUCAGCUAAGCUAGAUGAGCUCAGUAAUUGGAGGAAAAAUUGAGUGUUUGAGGAAGUUACAGACAUUGGCCAAAAAUGUGUCUCAACAAGGUGGGUGUGUACCCUUAAAGAGUCCUUAACUGGAAUAGUGCCUAAAGCACGUCUAGUGGCUAGAGGUUUUGAGGAGCUGGCUGCUAAACAACUCCCAAAAGACUCACCGACAUGCGCCUUAGAGUCACUCAGAUUGCUGAUGUCCGUGAUCUGCCAGAAAAAAUGGAAACUUAAUUCCAUAGACAUCAAAUCUGUCAAGGGACAUUCACAUCCGACCUCCGCCUGAAGCUAAAUGCGAAGGAACACUGUGGAAACUAAAGAAGUGUGUGUAUGGACUGGCAGAUGCAUCACUCUACUGGUACAACAAAGUCAAGGCAACAAUGCUGAAUACAGGUGGAAAACUGUCACAAGUGGAUCCUGCAGUCUUCUAUUGGCUUGAUCAAGACUGCAGUGUGACUGGAGUACUUGCCUGUCAUGUUGAUGACUUCAUCUGGGGUGGCUCACAGACCUUUGCUACAACUGUGAUUCCACACCUCAAAUCUGUUUUCCAGGUCGGCCGUGAGGAGCAUGAUAAUUUUUGUUAUGUUGGCAUAGAGUUUAUUACAGUUGAUGGGACAAUACUGAUGCAACAGGAGAGCUAUAUCAAGAAUCUUCAACCCAUUCACAUGGAUUCUUCAAGAGCCGUACAAAGGAAUUCCCCUCUAUGUGGAAUUGAAGCUGAUCAAUUGAGGUCAAAGAUAGGACAAAUUUUAUGGGUUGCUAGACAGAGUAGACCUGAUGUAAUGUUUGAUGGUUGCAACUUGGCAUCUAACACAAAACACGCCACUGUACAAACCAUUCAUGAGGCAAACAAAGUUGUUCGUAAACUGAAAUCACAACAAGUGACUAAAGUUUCAGCAUGUUGGAAAAGAUGACUCUUUGAAACUAGUUGUCUUCAGUGAUGCUUCGCUAGGGAACCUUACAGAUGGAGGCACACAAGGUGGACAUCUAAUCGUGUUAAUGGGUGAAGGAGGAAGAUUCUCACCUAUCUGUUGGCAGUCAAAAAGGAUCAGAAGGGUUGUCCGAAGCACACUUGCUGGAGAAACACUUGCUCUUGCGGAUGGAAUUGACAAUGCGAUCUUUCUUGCAGCUCUGUUCUCAGAGCUUACCACUGGUGAGACAAAACGGCACAUUCUACCUGUAGUUUGUGUCACUGACAACUACUCAUUAGUUGAUGCUUUAAAGUCAACCAAGUCUGUCACAGAGAAAAGACUUCGUCUUGAGAUUAGCAGCAUCAAGGAACUUAUUCAAGCACAGAGAAUCCAGCGGAUUCUGUGGUCGACCACAAAGGAACAGCUUGCUGACUGUCUGACUAAAAAGGGAGCAUCCGGUCUUGUGCUCCUACAGGCUCUCAGUAAUGGAAAGUGGCAGCUUGAGUAAUACAAAUAAAAACUGUCACACAACCCAUUUGUAAUGGGGAACUUAAAUAAUACUUGGACAUUUAAUUAUGUUGUUGAUGUUUAAUUUGCCUUUAAAGAAAAGGGGGAGAUUUUUAAGUUCAUGUUUUAAGUAUCCCUAUAUUUCUGUUAUUACGGGGCUAUCACUCAGUCAAGAGUGCGGCUGCGCAGGAAGUUAGUUCGUGGAUGGUCCUAGCCGUGAGUGUAAUGGCUACCUUGUAGUGUGUUCAUACAGUAUAGUAAACUUUGUUAAACUGGAACCUUGUCGUUGUGUCAUUUCGAGUUAACAGGAACCUGGCAGCCAAAGUGCAAACAUCUGACACUCAAAAUAGGGAUGUGCUUCAUCCAGAUCAAUCAGGGCAACAUGUGGAUUCGAUUUUGUUUAAUGUGAUUUAUAACACAAACAAUUUGUUUGUUAAGGAAUCUGUGAAGAAGCAGCUUUUGAAAAGGAUUCAGAAUGUGACAACCCCCAAAAAGAAGCAGGGAGCGACCCCUUCAAGAAAGAGGCCACGAAGCCUUAGAUUUCAGAGCAGCCAGGAGAUGUCCACUGAUGAGACUGAUGAAUCCACCUCCUCAACCCUGAUCUUGUGGAGAUCCCCACAAUCUAGAUGCAGCACCCCAGAGGUUGAACAGUUGGGUGAAACUACUGAGAGCCUACAGAACCAGGCGAGACAUAAUAAAACUACAGGAGAUGUACAAAACCAAGGCCAGACCCAACCAGAAGGAUGUUUCUCAGCUCCUGGACCUUGAAUUCCAAGCAAGACGGGCCUUCAUCGACUCUGAUGCUACUAAGGAGCAGGACAGGCCUAUCAAGAUACUUCAAGCGUAUCCCUGCUUCAGAGAACUGGAUCAUCUAGAUAGAUAGACAGACAGUCUUAGUCUCAG
Molecule: long non-coding RNA, 3295 nt
Filed under: Salmo salar (Atlantic salmon)
Lineage: Eukaryota; Metazoa; Chordata; Actinopteri; Salmoniformes; Salmonidae
Description: lncRNA (ENSSSAG00000089247.1)
Source: RNAcentral